AUGGAUUAGUGGCGAACGGGUGAGGAACACGUGAGAAACCUGCCUUUCAUUCUGGGAUAACACCGGGAAACCGGUGCUAAUACCGGAUACUCCAUCUUGGCGGCAUCGCCGAGCUGGGAAAAAAUUUUGAUGAAAGAUGGUCUCGCGGCCUAUCAGCUAGUUGGUGAGGUAAAGGCUCACCAAGGCGACGACGGGUAGCCGGCCUGAGAGGGCGACCGGCCACACUGGGACUGAGACACGGCCCAGACUCC
RNAcentral lists this ribosomal RNA (251 nucleotides) under uncultured bacterium. RNAcentral describes it as "partial 16S ribosomal RNA". It matches the Rfam family "Bacterial small subunit ribosomal RNA", at positions 87 to 339 of the family's 1533-position model. The record is from RNAcentral.